GAUGAACGCUGGCGGCGUGCCUAAUACAUGCAAGUCGAGCGAACAGACGAGGAGCUUGCUCCUCUGACGUUAGCGGCGGACGGGUGAGUAACACGUGGAUAACCUACCUAUAAGACUGGGAUAACUUCGGGAAACCGGAGCUCAUACCGGAUAAUAUAUUGAACCGCAUGGUUCAAUAGUGAAAGACGGUUUUGCUGUCACUUAUAGAUGGAUCCGCGCCGCAUUAGCUAGUUGGUAAGGUAACGGCUUACCAAGGCAACGAUGCGUAGCCGACCUGAGAGGGUGAUCGGCCACACUGGAACUGAGACACGGUCCAGACUCCUACGGGAGGCAGCAGUAGGGAAUCUUCCGCAAUGGGCGAAAGCCUGACGGAGCAACGCCGCGUGAGUGAUGAAGGUCUUCGGAUCGUAAAACUCUGUUAUUAGGGAAGAACAAAUGUGUAAGUAACUAUGCACGUCGUGACGGUACCUAAUCAGAAAGCCACGGCUAACUACGUG
RNAcentral lists this ribosomal RNA (497 nucleotides) under uncultured bacterium. Its description in RNAcentral is "partial 16S ribosomal RNA". It matches the Rfam family "Bacterial small subunit ribosomal RNA", at positions 28 to 507 of the family's 1533-position model. The record is from RNAcentral.